AAGGUCUCGUAGGUGACCUGCGCAGGGACAUUACUGAGUGAGGGCUCACACCCGACCUCCAACCCUUUGUGAACACAUCUUGUUGCUUCGGGGGCGACCCUGCCGGCACUACGUCGCCGGGCGCCCCCGAAGGUCUCCAAACACUGCAUCUUUGCGUCGGAGUUUAAAACAAAUUAAACAAAACUUUCAACAACGGAUCUCUUGGUUCUGGCAUCGAUGAAGAACGCAGCGAAAUGCGAUAAGUAAUGUGAAUUGCAGAAUUCAGUGAAUCAUCGAAUCUUUGAACGCACAUUGCGCCCUUUGGUAUUCCGAAGGGCAUGCCUGUUCGAGCGUCAUUUCACCACUCAAGCCUGGCUUGGUAUUGGGCGUCGCGGCUCCGCGCGCCUUAAAGUCUCCGGCUGAGCCAUUCGUCUCUAAGCGUUGUGGAUUUUCUAAUUCGCUUCGGAGUGCGGGUGGCCGCGGCCGUUAAAUCUUUAUUCAAAGGUUGACCUCGGAUCAGGUAGGGAUACCCGCUGAA
This 517-nucleotide ribosomal RNA is filed under the name Pseudocercospora macadamiae. RNAcentral describes it as "eukaryotic LSU rRNA". The stretch from base 182 to 335 matches the Rfam family "5.8S ribosomal RNA". Lineage: Eukaryota; Fungi; Ascomycota; Dothideomycetes; Mycosphaerellales; Mycosphaerellaceae. The record is from RNAcentral.